GGAGUAGAAAAAGAAUAUGUCGGUUAUGAUUUAGCUAGAGACUAUAAUGUCCAGGUUCCGAUUGAUGCUGCCAAUCUAAGAAACAGAAACCAAACUGCCCCUUCAGGUGCCAAAGACGUAUCGACAAAAUCAGACAAAGGAAAGAACUUAAAAGUUCCACAGAAUGGUUUGUCAAAAAGGAACAAGGAUGUGGUGACGAGGAAAGGAACAUCCUCU
This 216-nucleotide unclassified non-coding RNA is filed under the name Hevea brasiliensis (rubber tree). The record is from RNAcentral. Lineage: Eukaryota; Viridiplantae; Streptophyta; Magnoliopsida; Malpighiales; Euphorbiaceae.